AGUGGCAGACGGAUGAGUAACAUGUAGGUAUCUACCCUUUGGCCUGGAAUAACACGAGGAAACUUGUGCUAAUACCGGAUAAGUCUUUACGGAGAAAGCUUUAUGCACCAUUGGAUGAGCCUGCGCUUGAUUAGUUUGUUGGUGGGGUAAUGGCCUACCAAGACUGUGAUCAAUAGCUGAUUUGAGAGGAUGAUCAGCCACAUUGGGACUGAGACACGGCCCAAACUCCUACGGGAGGCAGCAGUGGGGAAUCUUGCACAAUGGAGGAAACUCUGAUGCAGCGAUGCCGCGUGAGUGAAGAAGGCCCUUGGGUUGUAAAGCUCUUUCGUCGGGGAAGAAAAUGACUGUACCCGAAUAAGAAGGUCCGGCUAACUUCGUGCCAGCAGCCGCGGUAAUACGAAGGGACCUAGCGUAGUUCGGAAUUACUGGGCUUAAAGAGUUCGUAGGUGGUUGAAAAAGUUAGUGGUGAAAUCCCAGAGCUUAACUCUGGAACUGCCAUUAAAACUUUUCAGCUAGAGUAUGAUAGAGGAAAGCAGAAUUUCUAGUGUAGAGGUGAAAUUCGUAGAUAUUAGAAAGAAUACCAAUUGCGAAGGCAGCUUUCUGGAUCAUUACUAACACUGAGGAACGAAAGCAUGGGUAGCGAAGAGGAUUAGAUACCCUCGUAGUCCAUGCCGUAAACGAUGUGUGUUAGACGUUGGAAAUUUAUUUUCAGUGUCGCAGCGAAAGCGAUAAACACACCGCCUGGGGAGUAC
RNAcentral lists this ribosomal RNA (752 nucleotides) under uncultured marine bacterium. Its description in RNAcentral is "bacterial SSU rRNA". It matches the Rfam family "Bacterial small subunit ribosomal RNA", at positions 94 to 883 of the family's 1533-position model. The record is from RNAcentral.